RNAcentral lists this ribosomal RNA (492 nucleotides) under uncultured bacterium. RNAcentral describes it as "partial 16S ribosomal RNA". It matches the Rfam family "Bacterial small subunit ribosomal RNA", at positions 29 to 507 of the family's 1533-position model. The record is from RNAcentral.
AGUGAACGCUGGCGGUAGGCCUAACACAUGCAAGUCGAACGGCAGCACAGUAAGAGCUUGCUCUUACGGGUGGCGAGUGGCGGACGGGUGAGGAAUACAUCGGAAUCUACUUUUUCGUGGGGGAUAACGUAGGGAAACUUACGCUAAUACCGCAUACGACCUACGGGUGAAAGCAGGGGAUCUUCGGACCUUGCGCGAUUGAAUGAGCCGAUGUCGGAUUAGCUAGUUGGCGGGGUGAAGGCCCACCAAGGCGGCGAUCCGUAGCUGGUCUGAGAGGAUGAUCAGCCACACUGGAACUGAGACACGGUCCAGACUCCUACGGGAGGCAGCAGUGGGGAAUAUUGGACAAUGGGCGCAAGCCUGAUCCAGCCAUACCGCGUGGGUGAAGAAGGCCUUCGGGUUGUAAAGCCCUUUUGUUGGGAAAGAAAGGCAGCAGGUUAAUACCCCGCUGUUCUGACGGUACCCAAAGAAUAAGCACCGGCUAACUUCGUG